UAGGGAAUCUUCGGCAAUGGGUGGAACCCUGACCGAGCAACGCCGCGUGAGUGAAGAAGGUUUUCGGAUCGUAAAGCUCUGUUGUUAAGGAAGAACGAGUGUGAGAAUGGAAAGUUCAUACUGUGACGGUACUUAACCAGAAAGGGACGGCUAACUACGUGCCAGCAGCCGCGGUAAUACGUAGGUCCCGAGCGUUGUCCGGAUUUAUUGGGCGUAAAGCGAGCGCAGGCGGUUAGAUAAGUCUGAAGUUAAAGGCAGUGGCUCAACCAUUGUAGGCUUUGGAAACUGUUUAACUUGAGUGCAGAAGGGGAGAGUGGAAUUCCAUGUGUAACGGUGAAAUGCGUAGAUAUAUGGAGGAACACCGGUGGCGAAAGCGGCUCUCUGGUCUGUAACUGACGCUGAGGCUCGAAAGCGUGGGGAGCGAACAGG
Molecule: ribosomal RNA, 429 nt
Filed under: Bacteroidota bacterium
Lineage: Bacteria; Pseudomonadati; Bacteroidota
Description: Bacteroidetes bacterium partial 16S ribosomal RNA
Rfam family: Bacterial small subunit ribosomal RNA
Source: RNAcentral